GGGGUAUGAGCCAACAAGGUUAAGGCGUCUGUCUUCCAAACAGAAUAAGUGGGUUCGAUUCCCGCAUACCUCUC
RNAcentral lists this transfer RNA (74 nucleotides) under Microbacterium phage Big4. RNAcentral's name for it is "tRNA-Gly". It matches the Rfam family "tRNA". Rfam says of the family: Transfer RNA (tRNA) molecules are approximately 80 nucleotides in length. Their secondary structure includes four short double-helical elements and three loops (D, anti-codon, and T loops). The record is from RNAcentral. Lineage: Duplodnaviria; Heunggongvirae; Uroviricota; Caudoviricetes.